CCAAUCUCCCUGUUUCUGUAGGUUCACCUGAGAUUUAUCUGGUCUUUCGGGGCUUAAAAGGGAGACAGUCCCAAAGACGUGAGUAAUUCUGACCUGUAGAGGAUUCCAUGGGAAGUCUUCUACAAGCCCCGAAGGAAGGGAAUCUCUCUCCUCAUACCUUGAGUUUCCUGAGUACAAUUAUUAUAGAUAUACGAAGAUCUCUAUGCUCAUGGGGAAUUUGUGUCAAGGGAUUUGUACAGCCCUAUAGGAGACACCUCCAGAGAAAGUAACAACUCUCAGUUGAUUAGCUGAGGUAUGUAUGUCAUUUAUGGCAAUACCUGUCUCCAUCCCCUCCGUCUUCUUCUAGGAGACCAAUUUUGUAAAUUGCUACUUUUCUAACAACAGUGGCACAGGUGGCCCAGCAUUCUCCCUUUUCUCAGAGCUGGUUUUCCAUCCUGGAAAGAGGUCUUACAUAUACAAAGUUACUCUAAUCAGUUGU
RNAcentral lists this long non-coding RNA (478 nucleotides) under Pongo abelii (Sumatran orangutan). Its description in RNAcentral is "lincRNA". Lineage: Eukaryota; Metazoa; Chordata; Mammalia; Primates; Hominidae. The record is from RNAcentral.